RNAcentral lists this ribosomal RNA (460 nucleotides) under uncultured bacterium. RNAcentral's name for it is "partial 16S ribosomal RNA". It matches the Rfam family "Bacterial small subunit ribosomal RNA", at positions 338 to 795 of the family's 1533-position model. The record is from RNAcentral.
CCUACGGGGGACAGCAGUGAGGAAUAUUGGUCAAUGGGCGCGAGCCUGAACCAGCCAAGUAGCGUGAAGGAUGACUGCCCUACGGGUUGUAAACUUCUUUUAUAAAGGAAUAAAGUGAGGCACGUGUGCCUUUUUGUAUGUACUUUAUGCAUAAGGAUCGGCUAACUCCGUGCCAGCAGCCGCGGUAAUACGGAGGAUCCGAGCGUUAUCCGGAUUUAUUGGGUUUAAAGGGAGCGUAGAUGGGUUGUUAAGUCAGUUGUGAAAGUUUGCGGGUCAACCGUAAAAUUGCAAUUGAUACUGGCGGUCUUGAGUACAGGUGAGGUAGGCGGAAUGCGUGGUGUAGCGGUGAAAUGCUUAGAUAUCACGAAGAACUCCGAUUGCGAAGGCAGCUUACUAAACUGCCACUGACAUUGAUGCUCGAAAGUGUGGGUAUCAAACAGGAUUAGAUACCCGAGUAGUC